RNAcentral lists this ribosomal RNA (440 nucleotides) under uncultured bacterium. RNAcentral's name for it is "partial 16S ribosomal RNA". It matches the Rfam family "Bacterial small subunit ribosomal RNA", at positions 338 to 795 of the family's 1533-position model. The record is from RNAcentral.
CCUACGGGUGGCAGCAGUGGGGAAUAUUGUACAAUGGGGGAAACCCUGAUGCAGCGACGCCGCGUGAGCGAUGAAGUAUUUCGGUAUGUAAAGCUCUAUCAGCAGGGAAGAAAAUGACGGUACCUGACUAAGAAGCCCCGGCUAACUACGUGCCAGCAGCCGCGGUAAUACGGAGGGGGCAAGCGUUAUCCGGAUUUACUGGGUGUAAGGGGAGCGUAGACGGCGGUGCAAGCCAGAUGUGAAAGCCCUGGGCUCAACCCGGGGACUGCCUGUGGAACUGUGCUGCUAGAGUGUCGGAGAGGCAGGCGGAAUUCCUGGUGUAGCGGUGAAAUGCGUAGAUAUUAGGAGGAACACCAGUGGCGAAGGCGGCCUGCUGGACGAUGACUGACGUUGAGACUCGAAAGCGUGGGGAGCAAACAGGAUUAGAUACCCUGGUAGUC